UCGAACGGUAACGACACUAGCUUGCUAGUGGGCGACGAGUGGCGGACGGGUGAGUAACGCGUAGGAAUCUACCUAGUAGUGGGGGAUAGCCAAGGGAAACUUUGGGUAAUACCGCAUACGAUCUAAGGAUGAAAGGGGGCCUCUCUUUGAAGCUCUCGCUAUUAGAUGAGCCUGCGUAAGAUUAGCUUGUUGGUGAGGUAAUGGCUCACCAAGGCGACGAUCUUUGGCUGGUCUGAGAGGAUGAUCAGUCACACUGGAACUGAGACACGGUCCAGACUCCUACGGGAGGCAGCAGUCGGGAAUAUUGGACAAUGGGGAAACCCUGAUCCAGCCAUGCCGCGUGUGUGAAGAAGGCCCUAGGGUUGUAAAGCACUUUUAGUAGUGAGGAAGGCUCAGUAGUUAAUACCUACUGGGAUUGACGUUAGCUACAGAAAAAGCACCGGCUAAUUUCGUGCCAGCAGCCGCGGUAAUACGAAAGGUGCAAGCGUUAAUCGGAAUUACUGGGCGUAAAGCGCGCGUAGGCGGCUUGGUAAGUUGGAUGUGAAAGCCCCGGGCUCAACCUGGGAACUGCAUCCAAAACUGCCUGGCUAGAGUAUGGUAGAGGAUGGCGGAAUUUCCUGUGUAGCGGUGAAAUGCGUAGAUAUAGGAAGGAACAUCAGUGGCGAAGGCGGCCAUCUGGACCAAUACUGACGCUGAGGUGCGAAAGCGUGGGGAGCAAACAGGAUUAGAUACCCUGGUAGUCCACGCCGUAAACGAUGAGAACUAGCCGUUGGACAUCUUGCAUGUUUAGUGGCGCAGCUAACGCGAUAAGUUCUCCGCCUGGGGAGUACGGCCGCAAGGUUAAAACUCAAAUGAAUUGACGGGGGCCCGCACAAGCGGUGGA
Molecule: ribosomal RNA, 883 nt
Filed under: uncultured Gammaproteobacteria bacterium
Lineage: Bacteria; Pseudomonadati; Pseudomonadota; Gammaproteobacteria
Description: bacterial SSU rRNA
Rfam family: Bacterial small subunit ribosomal RNA
Source: RNAcentral